AUUGAACGCUGGCGGCAGGCCUAACACAUGCAAGUCGGACGGUAGCACAGAGAGCUUGCUCUCGGGUGACGAGUGGCGGACGGGUGAGUAAUGUCUGGGGAUCUGCCCGAUAGAGGGGGAUAACCACUGGAAACGGUGGCUAAUACCGCAUAACGUCGCAAGACCAAAGAGGGGGACCUUCGGGCCUCUCACUAUCGGAUGAACCCAGAUGGGAUUAGCUAGUAGGCGGGGUAACGGCCCACCUAGGCGACGAUCCCUAGCUGGUCUGAGAGGAUGACCAGCCACGCGGGAACUGAGAAACGGUCCAGACUCCUACGGGAGGCAGCAGUGGGGAAUAUUGCACAAUGGGCGAAAGCCUGAUGCAGCCAUGCCGCGUGUAUGAAGAAGGCCUUCGGGUUGUAAAGUACUUUCAGCGGGGAGGAAGGCGAUGUGGUUAAUAACCGCAUUGAUUGACGUUACCCGCAGAAGAAGCACCGGCUAACUCCGUGCCAGCCGCCGCGGUAA
RNAcentral lists this ribosomal RNA (504 nucleotides) under uncultured bacterium. RNAcentral's name for it is "partial 16S ribosomal RNA". It matches the Rfam family "Bacterial small subunit ribosomal RNA", at positions 29 to 523 of the family's 1533-position model. The record is from RNAcentral.